Molecule: transfer RNA, 43 nt
Filed under: Nekemias grossedentata
Lineage: Eukaryota; Viridiplantae; Streptophyta; Magnoliopsida; Vitales; Vitaceae
Also listed under: 1 other name
Description: partial tRNA-His
Source: RNAcentral
GGCGGAUGUAGCCAAGUGGAUCAAGGCAGUGGAUUNGUGAAUC